This 2130-nucleotide unclassified non-coding RNA is filed under the name Limulus polyphemus (Atlantic horseshoe crab). Its description in RNAcentral is "tetratricopeptide repeat protein 38-like, transcript variant X1". Lineage: Eukaryota; Metazoa; Arthropoda; Merostomata; Xiphosura; Limulidae. The record is from RNAcentral.
GAGCUGAAAAAACUAGAAAAAUGAUUCGUUCACACUUCAGAGGAGGAACGGAAUGGGCAGAUGAAGGUCUAGUUUUAUCAACUCCUAGUGAUCAAGCAUGUAAACUAUUUGAUUCAGCUUUAUCUCAGCUUAUUGGAUGGUAUGAUGACAAAACAUUUGGUGGUUUGAAGACAACACUAGAAAAUAUGAAAGUAGCAGAUCCAGAUUUUGUGAUGGGCCAUGUGAUGUCUAUAGGCUUAGAUCUUAUUGGCAGUGGAAGGACACCACGACUAGACAACAGUUUUAAAAUGGAAAUUGAAACCAUGGAAUCUUUAGCCAAAAAGCAAGCUGAUGGUUUAACUCAGAGAGAACAAAGUCAUGUUAAGGCUAUCCAGUUGUGGGCAGACGGGUAUCUGAAAGAAGCCACUGGUGUGUUGGACAAUAUCUUAGUGAAACACCCAACUGAUAUGUUUGCUAUAAGAAUGGCUCAUGAUGGCUAUUUUUACCAAGGCCACCUACCACAGAUGCGAGAUUCGAUUGCUCGAGCUCUUCCUCAAUGGAAACCAGCCACUCCUUUGUAUAGUUACUUGUUUGGCUUAUACGCAUUUGGACUGGAGGAGACAAACUUUUACUCUACAGCAGAAGGAUUUGCUCGAAAGGGACUGUAUCUAAACCCUAAUGAUGCUUGGGCAACCCAUGCUCUUGCCCAUGUGUUUGAAAUGGAAAGUCGUACCAGUGAAGGAGAGGCCUUCAUGAGUUCCACAGUAAACAACUGGGAGUUGGGUAACAUGUUGGCUUCUCAUAACUACUGGCAUUGGGCAUUGUAUCUUAUUGAACAGGGAGAGUUCGAGGCAGCAAUAGACAUAUUUGAUGCACAAGUUGGUAAAAGAAUGCUUUUGGGAAGAUCACUAGGCAUUGAUGCUACAUCUCUGCUGUAUCGCUUGGAACUUGAAGGAGCCCAAGUGAAGGACAGAUGGCGAGAAGUUUAUGAAGUAUGUUGUACACACAUGGAAGACCACAUUUUAGCUUUCAAUGAUGCCCAUCUUUUUAUGUCAUGUCUUGGGGCUAAAGAAAAAAAUGCUACAAGACUAAUGAUGAAUUCACUUGAUGAAUACCUCAGAGAAAGUAAGGGGACCAACCCUGAAGUUACUGCUAAAGUAGGAAGUAAAAUUAUCCAAGCUCUUCUAGCAUAUGAUGAAGAGAGAUAUGAAGAUGUAGUUUCUAUCCUCUACCCUGUACGAUACGAGAUUGUUCAAAUUGGUGGAACGGGAUGUAUUUAACCUGCUUCUUAUACAUGCUGCUUUGAAGUCUUCAAAGAGGUAUCAUCAUUGCCUAGCUCAGUGUCUUUUGUAUGAUCGAAAAGCUUUUAGAGGUACUUCACCCAUGAUGGAUCGUUUGAUGGCAAGAGCUUUGGCUUCCCAUCAAGUAUGAUAAUUUGAUUUAUGUAACUGAUUCUUCAUUGUUUGUCAAGAAAGAACCUUGUUGCCAAGUAAAUACCAUCAAGAUGCAAAGUGAAUAUGUUAUGUUAAAAUUCUUCAUAGAUUGUAUUACAAUAAGUUUUUAUGUUAGCCAUUUACUUAAAUGAUGUCUUAUUAGUCAUGCAUAAAGGAUAAUGAAAUUUCCAUAAUGGAAAGUUUUAAGCUAUUGGCAGUUGCAUUUUUUUUCUCCAGAGUGACAUUAGUGUUAAUUAAUUUUUUCUUGAACACAAAUUGUUACAUUUAUGCAUUAUAACAAAAUUAUCUUUCUUGUUCUGCUGUACAUAAACCUUAAUAAUUAUGUUGUUUCUGAUUAAAGUUAAAAAGAUUGUACAUUUUUGGCAUUAAUGUAAAACGGGGUUUUACUAAAACAAAUUUUGUCAUAAAAAUAGCAAACAGUUUACAUGUUGGAUUUUAAGAAAAUUUGAGCUUUAGCAUAGCCAAAAAAUUUCAGUUUGUCUGAAAUAGCACAUUAUCAACUGUUAUUGCUAAAUAUUAUUGAUACACAAAACAACCACAAUUAAAGAAUUCAAAUUAGAAAUAGCCAUGAUAAAAACAGAAAACACUAUGCAGUACUGCCAUUUUUCUUUCCUAGCACAAAUAUUUUGUGUAGCUUUCUUGAUUUGUUAUAUUGUUAUUUGUGAAAUAAAAGUACAUUUAUACUUCCAAGAGUAAA